This is a long non-coding RNA of Monopterus albus (swamp eel), 2358 nucleotides long. RefSeq lists it as uncharacterized. The transcript has 3 exons. NCBI's taxonomy places the organism in Eukaryota, Metazoa, Chordata, Actinopteri, Synbranchiformes, Synbranchidae. The record is from RefSeq and is a predicted model, not a curated record.
GACGAGGUUGCACUAUCCGAGGGAAUUUCGGCAACAAUCCCCUGCAGUUUUGGUGGAAAAUACCCAAGGGAGCUAAAACAAAAAAACUGGCCUUGAAUCGAUCACUCUGCCAUUAAUUAAUCCAAAAAUGAAACCAGAUCGCCAAAAGGGGCCCGGUUCACGGAGCCUCUCGGCUUCGUUCCGGAUUCAGGCAAUGGGCGAAUCAACGAUCUACACCUUGCUCGCCAGCUAGCUCGCCUCGCCGCUAUAGCGAAUAUAAAACAAGGCCGUGAAACAGUCCUUUCUACUCCAAUUUACUUCACAUGUAGGCGCUUUCGCAGCAACCCUUAAGCAAAAAAUCCAAUUCUCAGUAAGCGAAAGGUAAUCCAAAGGACAGUUUGUCGCGAGCCCUUUUCUCUCGUUUUAGGGAGAGACGCUUAGAAAAUGGCGGCUAGCUCCUCUCCCUCGGAUUUGAGUCUGACAAACAUUGAAGUGCUGUGUGCGUAUGCGUGUGUGUUGCUUGCUGGUAGGCGGGAGACAUUUCUCAUAGUCACCACUAGAGUAAAGGGCAAGAAAAGAAACGACAUAAAAGAUCAGAAGAAGAUAGCACAGGAGGGCAUUGUCUUUUACAUCAUAGUGCAGUGGAAGUUGUGCACUUGCUACAGGUAUAAACAACGCGCUGCUGGUAUUUCAACUGGAAAUACUGCUACUGCUGUUUACAGAGCUUCUGCAGGAUACACCAGGUUAAAUGUACAGGUAACUGGUAAAACCAUUGAUCCACCCAUCUUCUUAUCCUGCACCAGAGCAUAGUGGCAACAGAAUAAACUUUCAGCUCCCAAGCUACAUCCUCAAGCUCCUCCAGGGGGAUUCAGAGACCUUCACGCAGUUGCUGGGAUAUUUGUCUCCUCUGUGUUGGAAAUACCUCCUUUUGGUUUCGCCUUCUCUUCAGUGUCUACACUGACAACUGCAUCUCCAGAGAGUCGAUUAUGAAGAUCCUGAAGUUUGCAGAUGACACCACUGUGGUUUGUCUCCUAGCUGGUGGUGCUGAGUCUGCUUGCUGAGAAGAAGUUGAACAGCUGGUAUCCUGGGCCAAACUCCUACAUAUAUUCAGGACAGUGAAGCGGAUCAUUGACUGUAGUCUGCCAGCACUUCAGGACAUCUACAAUAGCAGAGUUACAAAGCAACUGGUUGGACUGUAGCUGACCCCUCUCAUCCUGGACAUCACCUCCUCCAGCCUUUUCCAUCUGCUAGAAGAUUCAGGACCAUCAAGGCAGCACAGGUUUUUCAUUUUGUUUCCCCAUUAACUCUAUAAUUAAACUCACUGUAUUGCACACAGUCUGAUAGCAUAUGAUUACAUCUAUAUUCUGUAUCAUCUCAUUCCAGCUCUUCAGUGAAGCUAUACCAUGGGUAAUUAAUCAAACCCACGACUCCAUCUUUUUAAACACAGUGCCACUCAGUCAAAUGGAAACAGGCCUUAUGCAUCAUUGUUCAUACAUUUCCUCAACCUUUGUCCUGACAUAUUUGUUAUUUUUGGAGACUAAACUAGAAAACAAAGUUCUCCAAAUCUAAACAAUCUUUGGCUGCACAGCAUGGGUUUGUAUUGACUGACCCACUGUCAGGUCAGAGAGCUUUAAGAGGUUGGUGAACAUGUUGAAGUAUUGACCCUACUCUGACUGAUUUGUUGAAUUGCAUUGCUGUAAAAGUGGAGACAGCUUUACGCUCUGACAGGGGCACAGCCUCUUCCCUAAAUACACCACACUAAUAGAACAGCAGACAAACAGUCAUUACAAUCAGAGCGAGUGUUUGUGAAGCUAAUGAGACUAAAGUUUAAUCAGUAACUGAAGAUGAAUUCUCCCAAAGAAAAGCUGAAGAACUCCAUUUGACAGCAGCACCGGUCCAGUUAGCACUAAGAGCCCUAUGACAGCAUAUAUUGUGAUUGUGUUAUGCUGGAAAUCGCCACAAUGCUGUCAUAGUCAGUUCUUGCAACUUGAGUUUCUUUCUGUUGUUUCUUUUGCUGUGCUUUGGCAUCACAGAUUAAAGGCAAGAAAACUCCACUCCUUUUCCUUGUCAUGGCAGAAAAUAGUGAAUGUUCACUCGGGCAGAAGGCUCUUACUUAAAAGCUGCUGUUCAGCCGUGCUCCCCUGACACACACACACACACACACACACACACAAUUUAAAAGGAUCACACGAUGCACACAGUGUAUUUCUUGCUUGCUUUUGUCUCAGGGGGCUGUGGAAACAAAUGGCAGUGUGAUCCUGCCUUUAAAGCCAGUACCCGACAACAGUAGUUGACUGCAUUUGUGUAUUUUUUAUGGAAACUAAAUUAUGUUGUCUUGUAUAUAAAAUGCGUUUUAUAAAUAAACUUAAUAUUACAGCA